ACUCUCAGCAACGGAUAUCUUGGCUCUUGCAACGAUGAAGAACGCAGCGAAAUGCGAUACGUGGUGUGAAUUGCAGAAUUCCGUGAAUCAUCGAAUGUUUGAACGCAACUUGCGCCCGAGGCUUAUCCCGAGGGCAUGCCUGCUUGAGCGUCC
Molecule: ribosomal RNA, 153 nt
Filed under: Selaginella cinerascens
Lineage: Eukaryota; Viridiplantae; Streptophyta; Lycopodiopsida; Selaginellales; Selaginellaceae
Description: 5.8S ribosomal RNA
Rfam family: 5.8S ribosomal RNA
About the family: 5.8S ribosomal RNA (5.8S rRNA) is a component of the large subunit of the eukaryotic ribosome. It is transcribed by RNA polymerase I as part of the 45S precursor that also contains 18S and 28S rRNA. Functionally, it is thought that 5.8S rRNA may be involved in ribosome translocation.
Source: RNAcentral